Molecule: ribosomal RNA, 46 nt
Filed under: Golovinomyces orontii
Lineage: Eukaryota; Fungi; Ascomycota; Leotiomycetes; Helotiales; Erysiphaceae
Also listed under: 2 other names
Description: partial 28S ribosomal RNA
Source: RNAcentral
UUGACCUCGAAUCAGGUAGGGAUACCCGCUGAACUUAAGCAUAUCA